Lolium rigidum is the source of this 82-nucleotide small nucleolar RNA. RefSeq annotates it as small nucleolar RNA R12. NCBI's taxonomy places the organism in Eukaryota, Viridiplantae, Streptophyta, Magnoliopsida, Poales, Poaceae. The record is from RefSeq and is a predicted model, not a curated record. The transcript has a single exon.
UUAGGCAUGACGAAGAAAAUCGUUCGGAUUCCCAUUGAUUUGUAACAAAUAUGAGAUCUCAAACCAGCUACUUCUGACCCAA